This is a long non-coding RNA of Malus domestica (apple), 529 nucleotides long. RefSeq lists it as uncharacterized. The record is from RefSeq and is a predicted model, not a curated record. NCBI's taxonomy places the organism in Eukaryota, Viridiplantae, Streptophyta, Magnoliopsida, Rosales, Rosaceae.
GCAUUCCUCUUUGAGACUAAAUGUGUAGUAAAAGUUUUUCAUAUCUCCUCUCUUGCCAGUUCUCAUUCCUUAUUAUAUUUUUAGGCACUAAGAGAAUCUCAUCGGUAUGCAAGAACUAUUUUAAUGUUACUAUAUGUCGGAUAUUGAAGCUGGUCUUGGUUUGAAGAGGAACCGCUUGAUUGUUCUCUCUCUUUUUGGCUGAAAAUGACCACGAUUUAAGUGGGGUUCAAGGCGUUGGGCUUCAUACAGCUCCUUGUUUUGCCCAAACGUUUACUGAAGAUGAGAUAUUAAACAGCAAAAGAGCUCUUUUGAAGUCUUCCUGUGAAUUCUUUAGCAACGGAGUUGGUGAGGGCUGCAUGAAAAAGCCAAAGAGGGUUUCAAAUGCAGUUGCUCUUACUGUGAUAUGGUACAUUGAUCAAAUCACUGAAAUCUCCUUAUUUUAUAUUUAGUAGUUGUUGCAGCACUGAUAUUAUAUUCAAUUUUUUGUGUUAUCUGCUACCUUUUUUAAUCUCAAUAUCCCUUUUUUUAA